RNAcentral lists this ribosomal RNA (722 nucleotides) under uncultured bacterium. RNAcentral describes it as "bacterial SSU rRNA". It matches the Rfam family "Bacterial small subunit ribosomal RNA", at positions 94 to 800 of the family's 1533-position model. The record is from RNAcentral.
AGUGGCGAACUGGUGAGUAACACGUGGGUCCCCUGCCCUUGAAGUAGGGGAUAACACUUGGAAACAGGUGCUAAUACCGUAUAACAACCAAAACCACCUGGUUUUGGUUUAAAAGAUGGCUUCGGCUAUCACUUUAGGAUGGACCCGCGGCGUAUUAGCUUGUUGGUAAGGUAACGGCCUACCAAGGCAAUGAUACGUAGCCGACCUGAGAGGGUAAUCGGCCACAUUGGGACUGAGACACGGCCCAAACUCCUACGGGAGGCAGCAGUAGGGAAUCUUCCACAAUGGACGAAAGUCUGAUGGAGCAACGCCGCGUGAGUGAUGAAGGGUUUCGGCUCGUAAAACUCUGUUGUUGGAGAAGAACAGGUGUGAGAGUAACUGUUCACAUCUUGACGGUAUCCAACCAGAAAGCCACGGCUAACUACGUGCCAGCAGCCGCGGUAAUACGUAGGUGGCAAGCGUUGUCCGGAUUUAUUGGGCGUAAAGCGAGCGCAGGCGGUUUCUUAGGUCUGAUGUGAAAGCCUUCGGCUUAACCGGAGAAGUGCAUCGGAAACCAGGAGACUUGAGUGCAGAAGAGGACAGUGGAACUCCAUGUGUAGCGGUGAAAUGCGUAGAUAUAUGGAAGAACACCAGUGGCGAAGGCGGCUGUCUGGUCUGUAACUGACGCUGAGGCUCGAAAGCAUGGGUAGCGAACAGGAUUAGAUACCCCUGGUAGUCCAUGC